Molecule: transfer RNA, 63 nt
Filed under: Loxodonta africana (African savanna elephant)
Lineage: Eukaryota; Metazoa; Chordata; Mammalia; Proboscidea; Elephantidae
Rfam family: tRNA
About the family: Transfer RNA (tRNA) molecules are approximately 80 nucleotides in length. Their secondary structure includes four short double-helical elements and three loops (D, anti-codon, and T loops).
Source: Rfam by way of RNAcentral
GGUGGUGGAAAUGGUUAACAUGUUGGGUUGCUAACCAAAAGGUUGGUGGUUCAAGCCCACUUC